UGGCGUAGAUAUUGUGGGAGGAAUACCGAUGGGCGAAAGGCAGCCCCUCUGGGAUAAUACUGACGCUCAGACACGAAAGCGUUGGGGAUGCAAACAGGAUUAGAUAACCCUGGUAGUCCACGCCCUNAACUGAUGUCAACUAGCUGUUGGGGCCGUUAGGCCUUAGUAGCGCAGCUAACGCGUGAAGUUGACCGCCUGGGGAGUACGGUCGCAAGAUUAAAACUCAAAGGAAUUGACGGGGACCCGCACAAGCGGUGGAUGAUGUGGAUUAAUUCGAUGCAACGCGAAAAACCUUACCUACCCUUGACAUGUCUGGAAUGCCCGAAGAGAUUUGGCAGUGCUCGCAAGAGAACCGGAACACAGGUGCUGCAUGGCUGUCGUCAGCUCGUGUCGUGAGAUGUUGGGUUAAGUCCCGCAACGAGCGCAACCCUUGUCAUUAGUUGCUACGCAAGAGCACUCUAAUGAGACUGCCGGUGACAAACCGGAGGAAGGUGGGGAUGACGUCAAGUCCUCAUGGCCCUUAUGGGUAGGGCUUCACACGUCAUACAAUGGUCGGGACCAGAGGGGUCGCCAACCCGCGAGGGGGAGCCAAUCUCAGAAACCCGAUCGUAGUCCGGAUCGCAGUCUGCAACUCGACUGCGUGAAGUCGGAAUCGCUAGUAAUCGCGGAUCAGAAUGUCGCGGUGAAUACGUUCCCGGGUCUUGUACACACCGCCCGUCACACCAUGGGAGUGGUUUCACCAGAAGUAGGUAGCCUAACCGUAAGGAGGCGCUAUCCUANCUGUGGAUCAACUAGG
RNAcentral lists this ribosomal RNA (796 nucleotides) under Alcaligenes faecalis. Its description in RNAcentral is "bacterial SSU rRNA". It matches the Rfam family "Bacterial small subunit ribosomal RNA", at positions 686 to 1479 of the family's 1533-position model. Lineage: Bacteria; Pseudomonadati; Pseudomonadota; Betaproteobacteria; Burkholderiales; Alcaligenaceae. The record is from RNAcentral.